This 27-nucleotide small RNA is filed under the name Bombyx mori (domestic silkworm). Its description in RNAcentral is "ovarian small RNA-30060". Lineage: Eukaryota; Metazoa; Arthropoda; Insecta; Lepidoptera; Bombycidae. The record is from RNAcentral.
UCUGUUAAUGACAGAGGUAUUUUUAGU